RNAcentral lists this ribosomal RNA (429 nucleotides) under Chloroflexota bacterium. RNAcentral's name for it is "Chloroflexi bacterium partial 16S ribosomal RNA". It matches the Rfam family "Bacterial small subunit ribosomal RNA", at positions 355 to 776 of the family's 1533-position model. Lineage: Bacteria; Bacillati; Chloroflexota. The record is from RNAcentral.
UGGGGAAUAUUGCACAAUGGGCGCAAGCCUGAUGCAGCCAUGCCGCGUGUAUGAAGAAGGCCUUCGGGUUGUAAAGUACUUUCAGCGGGGAGGAAGGGAGUAAAGUUAAUACCUUUGCUCAUUGACGUUACCCGCAGAAGAAGCACCGGCUAACUCCGUGCCAGCAGCCGCGGUAAUACGGAGGGUGCAAGCGUUAAUCGGAAUUACUGGGCGUAAAGCGCACGCAGGCGGUUUGUUAAGUCAGAUGUGAAAUCCUCGGGCUCAACCUGGGAACUGCAUCUGAUACUGGCAAGCUUGAGUCUCGUAGAGGUGGGUAGAAUUCCAGGUGUAGCGGUGAAAUGCGUAGAGAUCUGGAGGAAUACCGGUGGCGAAGGCGGCCCCCUGGACGAAGACUGACGCUCAGGUGCGAAAGCGUGGGGAGCAAACAGG